Molecule: long non-coding RNA, 519 nt
Filed under: Rhinopithecus roxellana (golden snub-nosed monkey)
Lineage: Eukaryota; Metazoa; Chordata; Mammalia; Primates; Cercopithecidae
Description: lncRNA (ENSRROG00000045897.1)
Source: RNAcentral
CUUAAAAUUUUCUUUUUUAAUUCUUUUCCCAAUUAAAAACACCCAUAUACUGCAGACAAAUAAUUGACGGAAGGAGUGAACUUGAAAAAGACAUCUGUUCUGGAUUUUUGAUGACUAAUACCUGUAAUGCAGAAGACAGAGAACUGAGAGAAGACUGCAGAGAACAGGAAAUCAGAGAUGGUGGUUCUCUGAGAAUGAUUCACUUUGGUCUGGUGUAAACAUUAAGAAAAAAAGAAACCUGCCUUCUUCAUAUCUAAACUUUUUCAUGGCCUGAUACAGACUUAAAAUUCCCCGUGUGGAUUUUUAAUAAGAGACAGUAUGAAUUGUAUAAAUUAGUUAAGAGUUUUGAGUGUUUUCAAAAUAAAGUUUUAUUAUUUCAAAAACAUGCAGCAUAACAGCAAAGUGAUCCUAAGUAAAAGUCCUUAACCUACUUAUUUUCAAUAAUGUAAAAUUUUGAAAGUGUCUUAAAUUGUACAUUAAUUAGGUGCUACAAAAAUAGAAUAUUUAAACUUUGUUCUC